RNAcentral lists this long non-coding RNA (876 nucleotides) under Ananas comosus (pineapple). Its description in RNAcentral is "long non-coding RNA (ACOM_LNC037845)". The record is from RNAcentral. Lineage: Eukaryota; Viridiplantae; Streptophyta; Magnoliopsida; Poales; Bromeliaceae.
GCGACGUCGUCGGAGGCGGCGUCGCGAUGGUUACGAUGGAGGGUAAGGAGAAGAUCGUGAUAAAAAAAAUUAUAAAGAGAAAAAAAAUAAAAAUAAUAAAAUAUAAAAAUAAAAAAUAUUUUUUUACUACAGAAAAUACAAAAAUUUAUAGAAGAAGAAAAAAGAUGACGAAAUUACACCGUUAAAAUAAAGUUAUACUGUUUUAAAAAAAAUUACACUAUUUUAAAUAAAAAUUGUACUUUUUGAGAAAAAAAUUAUACUUUUUAGGAUGAGAGUUAUACACUAUUUAGACUAAAUUUGCACUCUCUAGAUGAAUCUUACACUAUUUUAUUUUUUUUUUUCCUUUUUCUUUCUCCUCUUUCCUCUUAUCCCCAUCCGCAGGACGCUGUAGCCGCGGCCCUCAAGCCAAUCCACGGUAGAUGCAGCAACUAUCCGACGUUCAAUUUUCGCAGGCUGUGGAUAUGUACAUGUGUUGAACGGUGUAAGGUCAGGUUCAAAAGUAAUUAAUUAUGUGAACAGCAAAGAGAAUUACCAAAAACUAGAAAAGAAAAAAAGACUUCCACAACUUCCACGUAAUAACAUCAGCGAGGUAAUUAAUUAUGUGAACUGAAAAAAAAUACCAGACAAAAAAAAAAAAAAAAAAAAAAAAAAUUGGGGGAGGAUCGACGCGGGAUCUCACCUUGGUAUUUUGUCACUCCGCCGCUACCGACACCUCCGUCUCCUCCUCCUCCUCCUCCUGCUCCUUGUUCCUGUACUUGUACAACUCCGCCUCCUCCUACAACUCCACCUCCUCCUUCACCAUCACCUCCACCUUCUUCUCCUAUUACAUUAACUGGGGAGGAUUUUGUCACCUUCGCCGUGGUCGAUGCUUUCUCU